UGAAAAAAGUUAUAGGGGCUAUAGGAUUGGCUUGAAACUAAUCUUAGGGGGUUCGACUCUCUCCUUUUUCAU
This 72-nucleotide transfer RNA is filed under the name Cercopithecus albogularis (Sykes' monkey). Its description in RNAcentral is "tRNA-Ser". Lineage: Eukaryota; Metazoa; Chordata; Mammalia; Primates; Cercopithecidae. The record is from RNAcentral.